GCCGCGCCUGGGCGGCUAGUUCAAGUUGCCAUAGCUGCGAGUCAGGGUUGAGCAGAGUCGGUUGCGCCGCAGCGUUGAGUCGGUUGCACCUUCGGGGUCGCUGGUAGCCGCGGGAGCCGGGUGGGGCCUCGGCGAUGAUCCGGCGUUAAGAACCUGGAGUCACCUUGGGUCUAAGGUGUUUUGGGGGAAGUGUAGAGGCAACCCAAAAGAGCAUCUACUUGACUAGACCUUUUGCCCGGAAUCUCAUGAAGAAAUGAUAGGAGGCAGGCAUCCGUGCCUAAGAAGAGCACUGAGCUCAAAGGACAGCAACACAGAGUUCUGGGAGUGUACUUUGAGUUCCACCAGAUGCAGGAGUCUGACCAGCUCUCAUUGCUCAAAGUAAUUGAAAUUAAUAGCAGAAGACUUAGAGUGCACCCGGGAAGCUCAUGCCAAAAACUGAUUCUAUCUUAUUGAAAGUAUGUAAUCCUAGCUGGGGAUUUGUGUACAUCAAUGGCAGAAUCAUCCAGUGAUUCAGACCACUUCCGCUAUCGUAACCGAUUUAGUCGAUGGGCAACCAGGACAGUUCAAAGGGGAACUGGAGGUCAUCCUACAGCAGAUGUCACUGCGAAGGUCAACACUAUAACCAGUACUUUACAGGACACCAGCCGGAACCUACAACAAGUGGAUGAGAUGCUUGGACGAUAUCGAGAAUAUAGCAUUGGACAUGCGGGUGCUAUUGAACAGUUAAAGGAAGAUUUGGAGCAGUCGAUAAGCCAACUGCGGAGUCAGCGCUUACAGAGAAACUCAGGAGGGAGAAGUGCUUCUGUUACCAGCCUGAGUGCAAGUGAUCUCGAUGGUGGCACCAUGGCAGAGAGUCUUCGCUUUACACCUACCUCACCGCUGAAGGACUAUGAUCCCCAGGGUAUUAAACGAAACAGGUCCAGAACUGGGGUUCGGUUUGUUCGGGAGACAGACGACAUGGCCCAGCUGCAUGCAUUUCAUCAGUCCCUCCGAGACCUCAGCAGUGAACAAGUUCGGCUUGGAGAUGAUUUCAACAAGGAGAUUUCCAGAAGAAGCCGGUCGGAUGCUGAAACAAAAAGGGUUUUGGAAGAAUUGACUGAAAAGCUUCAUGAAGCCCAGAAACAAGAUGUGGUUUCAGAUCGAGUGGAGCGGCGGCUUCAGGAAAUAGAGAGAGAGAUGCGCACGGAAAGAGAGCUGGUGGAAAGACGCCAGGAUCAGCUGGGACUCAUGUCCUUGAAGCUUCAGGAGGCCCUGAAGAAACAAGAAGCGAAAGCAGAUGAGAAUGAGGACGUAAUGAAAAACAAGCUACAUCAAGCUGAAACUGAGAAGAGUCAUCUGGAACAGGAAUUGGAGCUUUCUCGCAGGCUGCUGAAUCAAUCUGAAGGCAGCAGAGAAACACUUUUGCAUCAGGUGGAAGAACUGCGUACUCAACUUACGAAAGCUGAAGGUGACCGGAAGGGUUUACAACACCAAGUAGCCAAGCAACAGUCAAGCUCCCAGGAUGAUCAACGAGAUGACUGGAGGUUUAGAAGAGGGGUAGAGCGGGAGAAACAGAGUCUGGAGAGGCAGAUGGCGGAACUGCGGGUGCACCUGAACUUCAACGCCAUGGCUUCCGAGUUAGAGGAGGUGAAGCGGUGCAUGGAACGGAAGGACAAGGAGAAAGCCAGUUUGGCGGCCCAAGUAGAGACUCUAACACGUGACUUGGAGAACAGGGAAAAACAACAGUUGCAGAUGUUGGAUCAACUUAAGGAGAUCCAGAAUCACUUUGAGACCUGUGAGGCUGAUCGUAAGCACAAUGACCUCCAGAUCUCAGAGCUGACUCGCCAUGCAGAGGAUGCGACCAAGCAGGCAGAACACUACCUUAGUGAGUUCCAGAGGUCGGAGGCCCUGCGAGAGGAGGCAGAGAAGAGGCGAGAAGAUCUGAAAACGAAGGCCCAGGACUCCAUCCGCCAGUGGAAGGUGAAGCAUAAGAAGCUGGAGCGGGCAUUGGAGAAACAAGCUGAAACCCUUGACCAGCUGACAGAAAAGAACAAUCAGCUUCUAAAAGAGAAAGAUGAAUUGAAAAGCCAGUUUUAUGGAGCAUUGCAACAGAUCGAGAAUCUCAGGAAGGAACUGAAUGAUGUCCUAACCAAGCAUGCCCUGCAGCAGGAGGAGCUUCACUGUAAGGACCAGAAACUCAGCGAUGUUCAAUCUCACCAAGUUGAACUUGAACUGGAGGUCAAGAAUUCCCUUGACACCAUCCAUCGGCUGGAAAGUGAAUUGAAAAGACAGAAUAAGAUUCAAAGCCAGAUAAAAGCUGAGAAGAUUCACCUGGAGGAAGAAAUUGCAGAGCUGAAGAUGAGCCAGGCCCAGGACAAAGUCAAACUUCUUGAGAUGCAGGAGUCCAUCAAGGACUUGAGUACCAUCCGAGCCGAUCUUGCUAAUAAAUUGGCCGAAGAAGAGAGAGCCAAGAAAGCUGUGUUCAAGGACCUUUCUGAACUGAUGGCCCAGACCAAGUCCAAAGAGGAAGAAAUGGCUACCAUUAUCACACAGUUAAACUUAGAACGAGACGUUCACCAGAGGGAGCUGGAAGAUCUCACAUCCUCACUGCACAGCGUGAAAACGAAGCACGAACAGAAUAUCCAGGAGCUGAUGAAGCACUUUAAGAAAGAAAAGAGUGAAGCAGAGAAUCAUAUCAGGACACUGAAGGCAGAGAGCCUGGAAGACAAGAAUAUGGCUAAAGCCCACCGCUGUCAGCUGGAGAAACUGACGUCCCAGUGUGAGAAACUGACGGAGGAGUUAGCCCAGAAUGAAAAUGAGAACAGGAAACUGAAGCAGAAGUACCAGUGUCUGAAGGAGGAACUAGAGGAAAAGGAGAAACAUAUAAGUAAUGAAGAAGAGCACUUAAGGAGAAUGGAGGAGGCCAGGCUGCAGCUCAAGGAUCAACUUCUUUGUUUGGAGACAGAGCAGGAAUCCAUUCUUGGUGUAAUAGGAAGGGAAAUUGAUGCAGCUUGUCAAACUUUCUCCAAAGACUCCGUGGAGAAAUUGAAACACAGGCCUGUUACAGCGUUCUUGUCACAGUUCCUUGAGGUUUACUAUGAUGACAUCUUGAUGGGCAGUCAUCGUUGUCUAUUGAGUGGGCUUUGUGUUCCCCGCCGUAUAGAAACACUCGUGUAUUUGAUUUAUACUUUGACCUUAUGUUAGUGUCUUUGUCCCAUGACCCUGAUAACCUGUAGUUCUGCCACUUAUAACUGGUGAAAGAUGUUCUUUAAAACAUGAAAUCAUUUGCAAAUCUGUGGAGCAAAUCAUGACAUUGCUUGUAUUGUAUCAAAAUAAAUAUUAUUACCCAAAGGGAAGAUUUGAUUGAGGCAGUAAAGAUUUAAUGGAGUUGGUUAAUGAAAAGGAAAGUAUAAUUGGUGACAAAUGGGUGCUCACAGAUGUUUAGCAGCAUAGCUUGUUGUUGAAAGAGGAAGAAGAAAUAGAGAAUUUGGGCAAUUAGGGAAAGCCUGAUUGAAAAGGUGGAGCACCUAAACCUUAGGUUAGAGCUGGGUGUGGUGGUUCAGGCGUUUAAUCUAGCAUGGGAGCUGCAGAAGAGAGGCCAGCCUCCUCUAGAUAGGUAUCCACAGUUCCAGAGAAGCCAGGGCUACAUAGCAACACCCCAUUUCAAAACACGAGACAAAGUGAAACCAAACAAACCAGCAGAAGAGCUGGGUUAGACUUAGAGAAAGAAGUGAUUGGGUGUACUGCCACUAUACUUUUGUGUAUGGAAUGUGGUAGAUACUUAAUAUGUAUUAAGUAUGUAUUUAAGUGAAUUAACUACUGCUAUUCUGACAGAGAACUGUGUACAUACACCUGGAGAUAUGUAAGCAUUUGAGAGCAGAAAUAGACAUCUCUUUAGAAAAGAAAGGAUAUUUUUAGAUAAAACAUAUCGAGAAGUUCUGCAAAAAUAUCCUAUGUAGCACUGAGUUUGAAGAACUGGGAAUAAUGUAAUUUGUGUUUACAAUUAUAAAGACAUCAGCAGCUUGUGAGUGUAGAUUUAGUUCAGUAAUAAGGCAAAAGCAGAUGUUGAGCGAUUUUGUAAAUGAGUUGGUAUAAAGGAAAUCAGAGCAGCUAAUAAAGGCAACAGUUUAAUACAAAAUUUUCUGUCUGUUUUGAAAUAUAAAGCAAUGUUUGCAUAAAUUUAUUUUGAUGAGCUGCUCUUUACAGUCUUUGAUAAAACAAAAUGGACCCCAAGGUAUAAAGAUGGAUAAACGAGACAGAAUCAAGUUUCUCUGUAGGCACAUUUAAACCUCUGUGGAGUCCGUUACUGGAACAGCACUGAGAGGAAGUCAGAGGCAAAGCAAACAGGCUUUAAUCAAGGUUGCUCGCCAGGUGUUUACCUCUGGGCCUGAAAUACAAUAUGACCCACAUCGCUGGUUAGCUGAAAGCAAGACCAAGCUUCAGUGGCUCUGUGAGGAGCUGAAAGAGAGAGAGAGCAGAGAGAAG
Molecule: RNA transcript, 4464 nt
Organism: Peromyscus californicus insignis
Lineage: Eukaryota; Metazoa; Chordata; Mammalia; Rodentia; Cricetidae
Gene: Cep128
Gene name: centrosomal protein 128
Exons: 21
Source: RefSeq, a predicted model, not a curated record